CUCGGGGGGAGAGGAGGAGAAAGAACGGGAGAAAGAGGAGGAGAACAGCCUACAGAAGCCACCCCACAGGAGAAUAAAGGAAAGAAGAGGAAACAGGUGUGUUCUCCUCCUCUGGUAUGUAAUAGUUUGUUUUAAACUUCAUUGCGUUUCGUUUGGUGUACAACUGUACUACUACUGUCUCAGUUAUAUUUGUCUACACAGAAAUCCCAGAAGGAGUGUUUUAUGGCUCAGGAGAAGAAAGCGGAUGAGGGCGAAAAAAAGCCCAAGAAACAGAGAAAGAAGAAGAAGACGAUCACAGAUGUCCUGGCCACAUCGAAACCCAAACCGGGCUCUCCAGGCGACCUGCAGAACCUGGUUCUAAAGUAUUUCAAAUACGAGCGCUCUGUCAUCGAAUUGGAAGAGCUCAAACUGCAGGGCGAGUCACCUUUAACCUUUCAACUGUCACACCUGACCUCUGUCUUCUGUUACCAGCAGGUAUAAGGGCUGUCAGCCUUUUUGUCAGUCUCUCUAUAUCUUUCUUUCUCUCUUUCUCUCUCUCUUCUUUCUCUCCCCCUCUCUCUCCCCCUCUCUCUCGUUCUCUCACUCCUACGCACUCACUUUCUCUGAAUUACCUAAUGUGACUUUUUUCACGGAUUCCUGCUUCCUGAUGAUUAAUGACCUCACACACACCUCCUCCUACCUGAAAGAAAGUGAGUACAAACCAAACCGUCACUCCUUACAUACCUACAUGCCUCACCAAUCCAUUACUCAUUUUUAACCUCAAUGUUAAACUAAUAGGACUUCUGUCCCAUUUGUGCUUUAAGUCUUCUGUCAUGUUCCUAGAUGUGUACUUGGGUAUAACUCAAUAGUCUGGUGUUGGCUUCCCCUCCUCAUCUCCUAUUAUUCAUCUGACUGAUCUGUGGAGGAAAUGAGAAGAGGAAGCCACUUUAGACUAUUGACAUCCGUCCCUUGUAUCACAGUAUAUGUUUUUCCUUUUCUCUUUUUGCUCAGUUUGUCCCAAAUGGGCUAAGGUCCAGACGCAACACACAGAGAAGGGUUCUGUAAUUCUGCUCAUUGUCUGUAACUCCGCCCUCAGACUCAUCAAGCUCACACAUUGGGAUGGGAACACCAUGGAGACUGAAAGCCCUUCUAGGGAGAGGUGGGGCCUCAUUUUCUCCCCCUCAGGGAUUUAACCCCAGUUUGGCACUGCCAGCGCAGCGCUUCCUGGUUCUGGACUGGAACUGGUGGGACCAGAAGCUUCGCAUGAUGGUGGAUGUCGCUGAGGUCCAAAUUGACUUGCUGAAGCUGCUGGAUAGGGGCAUCUUGAAAGGCUGUAGAGAAGGAAAAGUAAAAGUGGGACUCUUCUGAUACACAUACACACACACCAACUGCCAUACUUUGCCCUCUGCCAUAGACUGACACACAAACACACACCCAACCAUUUUGAACUGGACCUCUUCUGAUCAUGCUCUCACACAAACACACACACACACACACCAAAGUUAUUGUAGUAAACAAUUUAGUAA
Coregonus clupeaformis (lake whitefish) is the source of this 1505-nucleotide long non-coding RNA. RefSeq lists it as uncharacterized. The transcript is spliced from 4 exons. The record is from RefSeq and is a predicted model, not a curated record. Lineage: Eukaryota; Metazoa; Chordata; Actinopteri; Salmoniformes; Salmonidae.